RNAcentral lists this transfer-messenger RNA (345 nucleotides) under pig gut metagenome. It matches the Rfam family "transfer-messenger RNA". Rfam says of the family: Bacterial tmRNA, also known as 10Sa RNA or SsrA, is named for its dual tRNA and mRNA-like properties. Its role is to liberate the mRNA from a stalled ribosome. The record is from RNAcentral.
GGGGGUGUAAUAGAUUCGACGGGUGUCUGUUAUGACUCGGGAGCAGGUGCCGGUUGGCCAGGCCGGCUAAAACAGGGCCAAAAAAAUAACUAACGACAAUCAAGUCGCUUGGGCUAACGCUUAGUCCACUGCCGCUUUGACGCUUUUCACACGCCAAGGCAAGGCAGUCAUCAUGUGAAAUGCGGCGCAACGGGCGCGUUUCGUCCUUUUGCGCUUAAGACCAACGGAACAAACCGCAGGGGUGCCGCCGUGCGCUUACCCCGCGGUUAACCAAGCGCGGCUAAACCUGUAGGGCCUGAGUUGUUAGGGCGUUCGGACGGGGGUGCGAAUCCCCCCACCUCCACU